UACGUAGGGACCGAGCGUUGUCCGGAAUCAUUGGGCGUAAAGAGCGUGUAGGCGGCCACUUAAGUCCUGCGUGAAAUCUUGCGGCUCAACCGCAAGCGGUCGUGGGAAACUGGGUGGCUAGAGUGCGGGAGAGGAGAGUGGAAUUCCUGGUGUAGCGGUGGAAUGCGCAGAUAUCAGGAAGAACACCCGUGGCGAAGGCGGCUCUCUGGAACGCAACUGACGCUGAGACGCGAAAGCGUGGGGAGCAAUCAGG
Molecule: ribosomal RNA, 253 nt
Filed under: uncultured bacterium
Lineage: Bacteria
Description: partial 16S ribosomal RNA
Rfam family: Bacterial small subunit ribosomal RNA
Source: RNAcentral